GCUGGGUGUGCUGGCGCACGCCUGUAAUCCCAGCUACUCAGGAGGCUGAGGCAGGAGAAUUGCUUGAACCCAGGAGGUGGAGGUUGCAGUGAGCCAAGAUUGCACCACUGCACUCCAGCCUGGGUGACAGAGCAAGACUCUCUCUCAA
Unclassified non-coding RNA from Pongo abelii (Sumatran orangutan), 148 nucleotides. It matches the Rfam family "Metazoan signal recognition particle RNA". Rfam says of the family: The signal recognition particle (SRP) is a universally conserved ribonucleoprotein. It is involved in the co-translational targeting of proteins to membranes. The eukaryotic SRP consists of a 300-nucleotide 7S RNA and six proteins: SRPs 72, 68, 54, 19, 14, and 9. Lineage: Eukaryota; Metazoa; Chordata; Mammalia; Primates; Hominidae. The record is from Ensembl.